CCCUUUGCGCAGUGUUAGUAUCGUCGCCGAUGAGGUUUACCCGAGGCGCGAUUAGUGCUUAUUGAAAACUUUACUCUAACACUGUCUUCAAGGAGCUGCAGCUGGAUGGACUUUACACAGAGGUAGUUGCCU
This is a small nuclear RNA of Hypanus sabinus (Atlantic stingray), 132 nucleotides long. RefSeq annotates it as U4 spliceosomal RNA. The record is from RefSeq and is a predicted model, not a curated record. The transcript has a single exon. Lineage: Eukaryota; Metazoa; Chordata; Chondrichthyes; Myliobatiformes; Dasyatidae.